This 1399-nucleotide ribosomal RNA is filed under the name Escherichia coli. Its description in RNAcentral is "partial 23S ribosomal RNA". It matches the Rfam family "Bacterial large subunit ribosomal RNA", at positions 1353 to 2737 of the family's 2925-position model. The record is from RNAcentral. Lineage: Bacteria; Pseudomonadati; Pseudomonadota; Gammaproteobacteria; Enterobacterales; Enterobacteriaceae.
UCCUGUCCAACGUUAAUCGGGGCAGGGUGAGUCGACCCCUAAGGCGAGGCCGAAAGGCGUAGUCGAUGGGAAACAGGUUAAUAUUCCUGUACUUGGUGUUACUGCGAAGGGGGGACGGAGAAGGCUAUGUUGGCCGGGCGACGGUUGUCCCGGUUUAAGCGUGUAGGCUGGUUUUCCAGGCAAAUCCGGAAAAUCAAGGCUGAGGCGUGAUGACGAGGCACUACGGUGCUGAAGCAACAAAUGCCCUGCUUCCAGGAAAAGCCUCUAAGCAUCAGGUAACAUCAAAUCGUACCCCAAACCGACACAGGUGGUCAGGUAGAGAAUACCAAGGCGCUUGAGAGAACUCGGGUGAAGGAACUAGGCAAAAUGGUGCCGUAACUUCGGGAGAAGGCACGCUGAUAUGUAGGUGAAGUCCCUCGCGGAUGGAGCUGAAAUCAGUCGAAGAUACCAGCUGGCUGCAACUGUUUAUUAAAAACACAGCACUGUGCAAACACGAAAGUGGACGUAUACGGUGUGACGCCUGCCCGGUGCCGGAAGGUUAAUUGAUGGGGUUAGCGCAAGCGAAGCUCUUGAUCGAAGCCCCGGUAAACGGCGGCCGUAACUAUAACGGUCCUAAGGUAGCGAAAUUCCUUGUCGGGUAAGUUCCGACCUGCACGAAUGGCGUAAUGAUGGCCAGGCUGUCUCCACCCGAGACUCAGUGAAAUUGAACUCGCUGUGAAGAUGCAGUGUACCCGCGGCAAGACGGAAAGACCCCGUGAACCUUUACUAUAGCUUGACACUGAACAUUGAGCCUUGAUGUGUAGGAUAGGUGGGAGGCUUAGAAGUGUGGACGCCAGUCUGCAUGGAGCCGACCUUGAAAUACCACCCUUUAAUGUUUGAUGUUCUAACGUUGACCCGUAAUCCGGGUUGCGGACAGUGUCUGGUGGGUAGUUUGACUGGGGCGGUCUCCUCCUAAAGAGUAACGGAGGAGCACGAAGGUUGGCUAAUCCUGGUCGGACAUCAGGAGGUUAGUGCAAUGGCAUAAGCCAGCUUGACUGCGAGCGUGACGGCGCGAGCAGGUGCGAAAGCAGGUCAUAGUGAUCCGGUGGUUCUGAAUGGAAGGGCCAUCGCUCAACGGAUAAAAGGUACUCCGGGGAUAACAGGCUGAUACCGCCCAAGAGUUCAUAUCGACGGCGGUGUUUGGCACCUCGAUGUCGGCUCAUCACAUCCUGGGGCUGAAGUAGGUCCCAAGGGUAUGGCUGUUCGCCAUUUAAAGUGGUACGCGAGCUGGGUUUAGAACGUCGUGAGACAGUUCGGUCCCUAUCUGCCGUGGGCGCUGGAGAACUGAGGGGGGCUGCUCCUAGUACGAGAGGACCGGAGUGGACGCAUCACUGGUGUUCGGGUUGUCAUGCCAAUGGCA